RNAcentral lists this unclassified non-coding RNA (213 nucleotides) under plant metagenome. Its description in RNAcentral is "partial contains small subunit ribosomal RNA, internal transcribed spacer 1, and 5.8S ribosomal RNA". The record is from RNAcentral.
UUUCCGUAGGUGAACCAGCGGAAGGAUCAUUAAUAAGAAGUUUUUUAUGGCACCCUAUUAAAUCCAUAUCCACCUUGUGUGCAAUGUCAGGGUUGAUUCUUGUCUCGAGAGGAACAGCCCCAAACAUCAACUAUACCUCAUCUCUUUGUCUGAAAAAUAUUAUGAAUAAUACUAUUCAAAAUAAAACUUUCAACAACGGAUCUCUUGGCUCUC